GGUUGUGUAGUGUAGUGGUUAUCACUCGAGAUUUUGAAGUCACGUGACAAAAUUAUGCGCUGACAUAAUCAGAUUUCUCGUAACCCCGGUUCGAGCCCGGGCACGACCU
Non-coding RNA from Mycena capillaripes, 109 nucleotides. Lineage: Eukaryota; Fungi; Basidiomycota; Agaricomycetes; Agaricales; Mycenaceae. The record is from the annotation of a GenBank genome assembly.